AAUGGGCGAAAGCCUGAUGCAGCAACGCCGCGUGAGGGAUGACGGCCUUCGGGUUGUAAACCUCUUUUAGUAGGGAAGAAGCGAAAGUGACGGUACCUGCAGAAAAAGCACCGGCUAACUACGUGCCAGCAGCCGCGGUAAUACGUAGGGUGCAAGCGUUGUCCGGAAUUAUUGGGCGUAAAGAGCUCGUAGGCGGUUUGUCGCGUCUGCUGUGAAAUCCCGAGGCUCAACCUCGGGCUUGCAGUGGGUACGGGCAGACUAGAGUGCGGUAGGGGAGAUUGGAAUUCCUGGUGUAGCGGUGGAAUGCGCAGAUAUCAGGAGGAACACCGAUGGCGAAGGCAGAUCUCUGGGCCGUAAACUGACGCUGAGGAGCGAAAGCGUGGGGAGCGAACAGGAUUAGAUACCCUGGUAGUCCACGCCGUAAACGUUGGGCGCUAGAUGUAGGGACCUUUCCACGGUUUCUGUGUCGUAGCUAACGCAUUAAGCGCCCCGCCUGGGGAGUACGGCCGCAAGGCUAAAACUCAAAGGAAUUGACGGGGGCCCGCACAAGCGGCGGAGCAUGCGGAUUAAUUCGAUGCAACGCGAAGAACCUUACCAAGGCUUGACAUACACCGGAAACGGCCAGAGAUGGUCGCCCCCUUGUGGUCGGUGUACAGGUGGUGCAUGGUUGUCGUCAGCUCGUGUCGUGAGAUGUUGGGUUAAGUCCCGCAACGAGCGCAACCCUCGUUCUAUGUUGCCAGCGCGUUAUGGCGGGGACUCAUAGGAGACUGCCGGGGUCAACUCGGAGGAAGGUGGGGAUGACGUCAAAUCAUCAUGCCCCUUAUGUCUUGGGCUUCACGCAUGCUACAAUGGCCGGUACAAAGGGCUGCGAUACCGUAAGGUGGAGCGAAUCCCAAAAAGCCGGUCUCAGUUCGGAUUGAGGUCUGCAACUCGACCUCAUGAAGUCGGAGUCGCUAGUAAUCGCAGAUCAGCAACGCUGCGGUGAAUACGUUCCCGGGCCUUGUACACACCGCCCG
This 1016-nucleotide ribosomal RNA is filed under the name Curtobacterium oceanosedimentum. RNAcentral's name for it is "bacterial SSU rRNA". It matches the Rfam family "Bacterial small subunit ribosomal RNA", at positions 370 to 1396 of the family's 1533-position model. Lineage: Bacteria; Bacillati; Actinomycetota; Actinomycetes; Micrococcales; Microbacteriaceae. The record is from RNAcentral.